GUUGAAAAAUUAGCGGAUGACUUGUGGCUGGGGGUGAAAGGCCAAUCAAACCGGGAGAUAGCUGGUUCUCCCCGAAAUCUAUUUAGGUAGAGCCUUGAGCGGACACCUUCGGGGGUAGAGCACUGUUUCGGCUAGGGGUCCAUCCCGGAUUACCAACCCGAUGCAAACUACGAAUACCGAAGAGUGAUACUCAGGAGACACACGGCGGGUGCUAACGUCCGUCGUGGAGAGGGAAACAACCCAGACCGCCAGCUAAGGUCCCAAAGUCUAUAUUAAGUGGGAAACGAAGUGGGAAGGCUUAGACAGCUAGGAUGUUGGCUUAGAAGCAGCCAUCAUUUAAAGAAAGCGUAAUAGCUCACUAGUCGAGUCGGCCUGCGCGGAAGAUGUAACGGGGCUCAAAUAUAGCACCGAAGCUGCGGCAUCAGUAGCAAUACUGUUGGGUAGGGGAGCGUUCUGUAAGCGGAUGAAGAUGGCUCGAGAGGGCUGUUGGACGUAUCAGAAGUGCGAAUGCUGACAUAAGUAACGAUAAAACGGGUGAAAAACCCGUUCGCCGGAAGACCAAGGGUUCCUGUCCAACGUUAAUCGGGGCAGGGUGAGUCGGCCCCUAAGGCGAGGCUGAAAAGCGUAGUCGAUGGGAAACGGGUUAAUAUUCCCGUACUUGGAUAAACUGCGAUGUGGGGACGGAGCAGGUUAGGUUAUCGCACUGUUGGAUAUGUGCGUUUAAGUUGGUAGGUGUGAAGUUUAGGCAAAUCCGGACUUCUUUAACACCGAGAGAUGAUGACGAGGCUCUACGGAGCUGAAGUAACCGAUACCACACUUCCAGGAAAAGCCACUAAGCUUCAGGUUUAUCUAAACCGUACUGAAAACCGACACAGGUGGUCAGGUAGAGAAUACUCAGGCGCUUGAGAGAACUCGGGUGAAGGAACUAGGCAAAAUAGCACCGUAACUUCGGGAGAAGGUGCGCCGGCGUAGAUUGUAGUCCCUUGCGGAUGAAGGUUGAACCGGUCGAAGAUACCAGCUGGCUGCAACUGUUUAUUAAAAACACAGCACUCUGCAAACACGAAAGUGGACGUAUAGGGUGUGAUGCCUGCCCGGUGCUGGAAGGUUAAUUGAUGGUGUAAUCGAAAGAGAAGCUCCUGAUCGAAGCCCCAGUAAACGGCGGCCGUAACUAUAACGGUCCUAAGGUAGCGAAAUUCCUUGUCGGGUAAGUUCCGACCUGCACGAAUGGCAUAAUGAUGGCCAGGCUGUCUCCACCCGAGACUCAGUGAAAUUGAAAUCGCCGUGAAGAUGCGGUGUACCCGCGGCUAGACGGAAAGACCCCGUGAACCUUUACUAUAGCUUGACACUGAACAUUGAAUUUUGAUGUGUAGGAUAGGUGGGAGACUUAGAAGUAGUCACGCCAGUGAUUAUGGAGUCGUCCUUGAAAUACCACCCUUUAACGUUUGAUGUUCUAACGAAGAUUACGAAACGUGGUCUCGGACAGUGUCUGGUGGGUAGUUUGACUGGGGCGGUCUCCUCCCAAAGAGUAACGGAGGAGCACGAAGGUUUGCUAAUGACGGUCGGACAUCGUCAGGUUAGUGCAAUGGUAUAAGCAAGCUUAACUGCGAGACAGACAAGUCGAGCAGGUACGAAAGUAGGUCAUAGUGAUCCGGUGGUUCUGAAUGGAAGGGCCAUCGCUCAACGGAUAAAAGGUACUCCGGGGAUAACAGGCUGAUACCGCCCAAGAGUUCAUAUCGACGGCGGUGUUUGGCACCUCGAUGUCGGCUCAUCACAUCCUGGGGCUGAAGUAGGUCCCAAGGGUAUGGCUGUUCGCCAUUUAAAGUGGUACGCGAGCUGGGUUUAGAACGUCGUGAGACAGUUCGGUCCCUAUCUGCCGUGGGCGUUGGAGAAUUGAAAGGGGCUGCUCCUAGUACGAGAGGACCGGAGUGGACGCACCACUGGUGUUCCGGUUGUGUCGCCAGACGCAUUGCCGGGUAGCUAAGUGCGGAAGAGAUAAGUGCUGAAAGCAUCUAAGCACGAAACUUGCCUUGAGAUGAGUUCUCCCUGUCUUUAAGACAGUAAGGGUUGUUUAAGACUAAGACGUAGAUAGGUCUGGUGUGUAAGCGGUGCGAGCCGUUGAGCUAACAGAUACUAAUUGCCCGAGAGGCUUAACUAU
Molecule: ribosomal RNA, 2155 nt
Filed under: human gut metagenome
Description: bacterial LSU rRNA
Rfam family: Bacterial large subunit ribosomal RNA
Source: RNAcentral